UGACUCAAUAUUUGGGGAACGCAUGCA
RNAcentral lists this small RNA (27 nucleotides) under Bombyx mori (domestic silkworm). RNAcentral describes it as "ovarian small RNA-31906". Lineage: Eukaryota; Metazoa; Arthropoda; Insecta; Lepidoptera; Bombycidae. The record is from RNAcentral.